RNAcentral lists this ribosomal RNA (90 nucleotides) under Staphylococcus epidermidis. RNAcentral describes it as "partial 16S ribosomal RNA". It matches the Rfam family "Bacterial small subunit ribosomal RNA", at positions 1 to 85 of the family's 1533-position model. Lineage: Bacteria; Bacillati; Bacillota; Bacilli; Caryophanales; Staphylococcaceae. The record is from RNAcentral.
UUUUUAUGGAGAGUUUGAUCCUGGCUCAGGAUGAACGCUGGCGGCGUGCCUAAUACAUGCAAGUCGAGCGAACAGACGAGGAGCUUGCUC